Molecule: long non-coding RNA, 236 nt
Filed under: Lathyrus oleraceus (garden pea)
Lineage: Eukaryota; Viridiplantae; Streptophyta; Magnoliopsida; Fabales; Fabaceae
Description: Pisum sativum (pea) long non-coding RNA (PSAT_LNC006194)
Source: RNAcentral
UGAGGUCAACCGGAGAAGAUAAUCGGAGUCCUAGCUCUGGUGAUAUGGUGGCUUGUUCUUAUCCAUCAAAUCUUCUCUCCACAUUCUAAUCCUGAUCAUCCAUUGUGUUUACCAUGUUUUUGGCGCAGUUGACUUAAGCGCAUCAUACACCCUAGCGCGUGGCCAUCAGAUUUGUCACCUCAAUUAAUGAGGGAGAUCUAAUGACCCUUUUUUUUCUAUUUUCUUUUUGAUUUCUG